UGACCUCGUAGCUCAGUUGUUGGCAGAGCAUUGGACUAGUAUCCCAAAGGUCGUGGGUUUGAUUCCCACCGUUCAG
Molecule: transfer RNA, 76 nt
Filed under: Paramuricea clavata
Lineage: Eukaryota; Metazoa; Cnidaria; Anthozoa; Malacalcyonacea; Plexauridae
Description: tRNA-Thr
Rfam family: tRNA
About the family: Transfer RNA (tRNA) molecules are approximately 80 nucleotides in length. Their secondary structure includes four short double-helical elements and three loops (D, anti-codon, and T loops).
Source: RNAcentral